GAUGAACGCUGGCGGCGUGCCUAAUACAUGCAAGUCGAGCGAAAAGACGAGAAGCUUGCUCCUCUGACGUUAGCGGCGGGCGGGCGAGUAACACGUGGAUAACCUACCUAUUUGACUGGGAUAAUAUCGGGAAGCAGGUGAUGAUAACGCAGCAUAUAAUCAACGGCAGAAAUCAGUGGUUCAACAGGGCUUUGCCGUCUCUAUUAGACGAUUCCGUGCCGGAUUAGCUAGUUGGUAAGGUAACGGCUUACCAAGGCAACGAUGCGUAGCCGACCUGAGAGGAUGAUCAGCCACACUGGAACUGAGACACGGUCCAGACUCCUACGGGAGGCAGCAGUAGGGAAUCUUCCGCAAUGGGCGAAAGCUUGACGGAGCCACGCCGCGUGAGUGAUGAAGGUCUUCGGGUCGUAAAGCUCUUUUGUUAGGGAAGAACAACUGUGGAUUAAUCCACGCAUGUUUUGACGGUACCUAAAGAAAAAGCCCCGGCUAACUUCGUG
RNAcentral lists this ribosomal RNA (497 nucleotides) under uncultured bacterium. RNAcentral describes it as "partial 16S ribosomal RNA". It matches the Rfam family "Bacterial small subunit ribosomal RNA", at positions 28 to 507 of the family's 1533-position model. The record is from RNAcentral.